Centrocercus urophasianus (Greater sage-grouse) is the source of this 2590-nucleotide long non-coding RNA. RefSeq lists it as uncharacterized. The record is from RefSeq and is a predicted model, not a curated record. The transcript is spliced from 4 exons. Lineage: Eukaryota; Metazoa; Chordata; Aves; Galliformes; Phasianidae.
CCCUCCCUCAACUUAAAACCAUUUCCCCUCGUCCUAAAAAAAAACGAUCAUCUCUUCUUUGUCACCUGGAGAGCAGCUGUCCAUUGUCCCUGGGAAACAGACACAGUGCUGUUCUCAACAUUUGCAGUGGGGGACAUCAAAAAACCACGUGUGAGUUACUUCCUUUCUUCUAACAGUGGGCUGUGUGCUCUCUGCUCCCUUAGAAGUAUGGUGGCAUCUGCCAAGUGCUGCAUAUUCUGUCUUAUUUACUCCCAGGAAAAAUGUUAACAGACUCGAGGCCAGGAAAUAGCACAAAAGCCAUAUUUAAUUGCUGUCUUCUCUUGUAUAAGCCUAAACAUCCAGCUAUGUGUGCUCAUGCCCCUUCUCAGGUAUCAUUUGAAGAGUUCAUAUGCUGCCAGCUGCACAGACAGGGAUCUCCCUGCCCAUAAGGGACAAACUCCUGGGAUGUUUCUCAGCAGGCUGCCGAUGGGACAAUCCUUACCCAGUGCUUGUCCUGCUCCUGCCUGGCACAGCAGCAUACUUCUAGCUAGCUUAGGAUGAAAUGUUAGACACCAGUGAACUGCAUUUAUACUCGCUCAGCCCCAUGCAGCAGGAUGAAAAACUGGAGCAAGGAGAGGAGGCUGAGCAUUCCCUGCCUGAUGCCCAGGCAUGCUGCAGAGCUGCCGCUUGGGACCACACGGGCCAGACAUGAGCCACCUGCUGCAGAACUGGGAGCCAGUUGUGUCACAGCAGGUAAAAUACACACUGUUCAUUCCCUGGAGUCCUCUGGAGGCACCGUGCUGUGAGCUGACCUAGCAGUGCUGAUUUAAAUCUGAUCCAGGGAGAGACAUUGAUCCCUGGUUUCCUCUCACAGCAGUGAAGUCACAGCUUGGUUGUUCCUUCUUUUCACAGUAAAAGCUGUUUUCUUGGUGCAGGAGGAGUGCUCUGAUCAGACACUCAGACCUGAGAAACAGCACAGAGAAGGCACGUGCUUUGUCAUAGCUCAUUUCUCCUCCGUUGGCUCCCUUUACAGCCAGGUUGUGUGGAGGUUUUGUGACUAAAGCCCACAAUGCUCUUAUCAGCAGUGAGAAUUUGGCCUGAAAGCAUCACUGAUUCAGCUCUUCUUCUAGCCAGCUCUAAUGGCUUCCCAUCGCCCACAAGCAAACAACAGGCAAUACAUCCCCUGUGCACCGUAGCUCAGCUGUCACUGCUCUGCAGGCACGAGGUCACCUGGUGCCUGCUGUCAGUGGAAGAAUUGGAGGAUCAGAUCCCCACAGACAAUCUCUGCUGGGAAGGAUCUGUGGUCAAAAUACUGCCACCUUCUCCAGCUCCAGCUCCUCACGGUGCCUCAGCUGCAGCACGUGGAUCCCUGAGCGAAAGCUGGCGCAGAGCAGCGUGGAGCUGUCGCAGGCAGCCAGUGAGACCAGCGGUCCAGCUCCCUCGAGGCAUGCAGUGGCAAGGCAGGCUGAGGAGGAAAGAGAAAAAGUCACUCUGACACCAGGUCCCACAGCUGCAAGGAAACAAGCAGUGCUCAGAGCUCGGGCCGUCACUGCCACCUGCCAGCACGGAGAGGUUUUACAGAGAGAGGAAGGCGGUGCCCAGUGCUGCUUGCAGCUGCAGAUGCCCCCAUGCUGUCCUCCCCCAGCAGGAGACCCAGCCCCUUUAGUAACCCAAGAUACGACCAUCUGAGGAUGCUUUACCCGUACGUGGCCGUGUGCAAGCUGAUCUUACUCUGCAGUUUCCCCAUCCCACCGCUGAACACACAGCAUCAGCUGCAGGCAGCAGCACGGAGCAUCACAACGCCGGGCUCAGGCUCUCACUGCUGGCUGCGAGGAGACGCAGCACGACCAGAGAUCCAGAGAGAUUUCUGCUUCUCACACAUCCAGGAUAAAGUGCUGCUCCCCCUCCUCUGGGGUCACGUGCUGGGGGAUGCCCACCCUGUGCACGACACCAACACCGAAUGGACACCGCCUGCAGGCACAGACACAGGGCAGCCACCAAUAAACCCAUUUCAAUGGCAGCGAAUUACCGAGUCCAGUAAUUGGAUUCCCUGCAGAUGAAGAUACACCAAUUGGAUUUAGUCUGCGUUAGGCGUACGUUAGUGCUCCAUCUCCUGGGCAGGUAUUCUGCCAACAGAAGGUCAGAAGAAAACCCAGCUUCUAUUGGUUGAGUUACUUCCUACUGGAAGAAAAUGCAUGCAUUCAGUCUGCCCAGAGACAGGGAAGCUCCAUACCAGCAGCACUCAGCAGGGGUCGGUGACAUUCCACAACACAUUCCCUUUCUAAUUUUACCCUGGCAGCCUCUGUGAUUAGCAAUUACUAAUACCAGCUAAUCUCAGCCUUCUCUAUCCACAAGCUUGAAUGUUCCAAAGGUGCAGAGAACCAUCCAGCUCACAGCUCCAGGCAGCGUUACGCUGCUCAUUCAUUUCCUUCCAUCAGAAUGAACAUCAAAGCACUUUGGGACAUUGGGAACAAAAGUGGUUUUUCCGUGACAGCGAGAGAAUGCAGGAAAUUAUUUCUCCUGCAAAAUAAAACGGCAUGAGCUGCUAAGGCUUAAACUCUGACUUAAGUUCCUGCCCUUGGUUUCUCCCACAAGCAUAGCCAUCCAUCCU